This is a long non-coding RNA of Salvelinus sp. IW2-2015, 2814 nucleotides long. RefSeq lists it as uncharacterized. NCBI's taxonomy places the organism in Eukaryota, Metazoa, Chordata, Actinopteri, Salmoniformes, Salmonidae. The record is from RefSeq and is a predicted model, not a curated record.
GACAGUUUGAUGCUGAUUGCCAUCUCAUUUCACCUCUUGUUGAAAGAAGCAUUUAUUUUGACGUUCGGCGGCGCAUAUUUCAAAUCGAACAAGAGAGAAUAUUGGUUGGUUGCGAGAUACAGAAGAAUAAGAAGAACAUACAGAAGAAGAAGAGAGAAUAUUUCCACAGCUCCAUGAGCUCUUUUCACGGUUGGCGAAAGCAUGAUAUUUGAAGUAAAUUUUAAGGUUUAGCAUCGGGUUUAGGUUUCCUGAACAACUUUUCCGAAAGUUGAGUUGCUGUACGUAUCAAAGGAUGACACAGAGACCUCUGGCUCUGAGCAAGACAGUGAGCCAGAGCUGCCAGGAGAUGUCAUCGAGCCCCUCCCAACUGCAUCAAGCACCAGAUGCUGUUCCAAAAGGACCCAAUGACAUUUCAAGAUCCAGAGAAGAAGGUCCUGUACAGCUGUGUUUGAAAUCAUUUCCCAGUACUCAGCUUGGUACUAGGAACAGGGCUUUCAACAGCUCCUGGUAUAAGGACAAUUCAUGGCUUGAAUAUUCUGUAAAUCAAGAUUUGACUUAUUGUUUCGCCUGUAGGCAUUUUUCUCUGCUCAAUACACCCGAAUCUGCCUUCACAUCACAGUCAGGUAUUUGUAACUGGAAAAAAGGCGCUGUUUAAAGAUUCUGGGUUUAGGCUCCAUUCGAAGGCAGAGCAUCAUAUAAAUGCUAUGUAUGCUUGGAAUCAGCAUAAAAGGGCUAUUGACAGCAACUCAUCAAUGUUAGAUGUCAUAAAUGAGGACCAGAAAAGAAAGUGGAGGAAAACUGUACUUACAUUAAAACUAUUGCAGAUGUGCUCCUAUUAACUACCACUCAAAAUAUAGCACAGAGUUCAUCGAGAGUCUGAUCACUCUCACAACAAGGGUCAUUUUUUGACAAUCUUAGAAGAAAUAGCAAAGCAUGACACUCAGAGAAAAGGAUGAAUGCAUGUGGCAAUGCUUAGUACACAAGCCACGAAAUCCAGAACAAAGUGAUUGAGGGCUUAGCUGAGAUGGUACAAAGUGAAAUAAUAAGAGUAGUAAAAGAAAGUGAAGUUUUUAGUGUAAUUGCAGAUGAAACCAGAGAUUUAAAGAAAAAAUAACAAAUGUCUUUAGUUGUGAUGUACUAUUACAAUGAGGCCAUCCACAUAAGCUUGUUACACUUUCAGUCAGCUGAAAGCUUAGAUGCAGCAGGUCUCGCAAAAAUGAUAAUUGAUUGGCUUGAAAAACAUGUUCUGGACUACAGAAAUAAUCUUGUGGGGCAAGGAUUUGACGGUGCAUCCGUCAUGAGCGGAAAGCAUUCUGGUGUGUCUGCAUGGAUUAAAAACAGUGCGUGAUUUGCAUUUUAUGUGCACUAUAAUGCACAUUGUUUGAAUUUGGCAUUUGUCGAUGCUGUAAAAUCAGUGCCUGAGGCAGUUAAAGCUUCUGCAGGAGAGCAAAAAAGUUAUAACUUUGUAUCUGGCUUCUACAUUCAUCUCAAGUGGCUUGCAGUUCAGAAAGAGCUGUAUCCACAGCAGCAGUCCAAGGAACUACAGAGACAUACGGAUGUAAGGUGGGCAUGCAGAUACAUGGUAUGCUGUAAUCUGAGGGACAGGCUUCCAGCAGUUCUGAGAGUGCUACAGGAUUUCACACUUGAAAAUAGUGGUGAUAGAUCAGUGGAGGCGGGGGGCCUUAUUUCUCAGAUAGAUUUACAUUUCAUAGGGCUUUUGGUUACCUUUUGUAAAGUGCUUGGUGAUGCCAAAUGUCUUUCUGACAUGCUCCAAUCAAGCUCUCUUGACCUAGCAAGAGCUGUGGAUCUAGUAGGUGCCCUUACAGACACAUUACAGGACUACAGAAGUGAGGGUUACUUUGGAGAACUAUGGAAAGAGGUUGAAGAGAUUUCAGAGCACUGCACAAUAAGUGUACAAACAGUGUGUAAAAGACAGCCUAAAACAAGCUUAAGAUUUCACUACUCAUUGACGAUGAGCACUGUAGGACAGAAAAUGAGUGAUCAAAGUGAUGGUGAGAGCUUCCAAAGAGCUGUCUUUUAUCAGGUGCUUGACAGUCUCACAGCUGAGCUGCAGAGGCGCUUUUCAAAGAAGAAUUGUGAGAUAAUGCAAGGGGUCCAGUCUCUCAACCCAAAGAGUACAACAUUCUUGAAUGAGGAGCCUCUGUUUGCCUUUGCUCAGACCUUUGAGUCAGAUUUAGAGGACCUCAAACAUGAGGUUCACCAAACCAAGUGGCUUCUUGAUAGGCUUUUUGAUAGGAGAGAGAAAAGUAGAAGGGACAGACCGUCUACUCUCCUUGAAAGAGGUCUUCCAUGAGCUAUUUCGACUUCGUAAGAUUUCUGCUGUUACACCAGUCAGCAGUGCUUCUUACGAGAGAAGCUUCUCAGCUUUAAAACUGAUUAAAACCCACCUCAAGACAACAAUGGUUGAUGACCACCCUAAAUCACCUCGGAAUUCUCAGUGUUGAGUCAAGGAGGGCACGCCCCCUCAACAUGGAUGAGGUUGUGAAACAUUGCCAGUUCUCAACAGAACCACAGAAUUAUGCUGUUUUAAAUCUACCUAGGAUAAUUUGGCACUUAGGCAGUUCUUCUGGUCAGGAUUUAUACCUGCACUGUGUACUAGCUAGUAUACUGACAUUCUAAAAUGAUAAAUCCAAGGGGUAUCAUGUCACACAGAUUUAAUUUGGUCUUGAUUAGGCCAAUUCCAAAAUGUUUCUUUGCUAUUAGUUAACAUAAUAUAUUUGAGCAUAAAUAUGAUACUGUAAGUUUGUAAUAUUGAUGGGCAAGUCCAUUUCUUGAUACCUGGUAUGUCAAAUU